This 264-nucleotide ribosomal RNA is filed under the name uncultured archaeon. RNAcentral's name for it is "partial 16S ribosomal RNA". It matches the Rfam family "Archaeal small subunit ribosomal RNA", at positions 717 to 982 of the family's 1478-position model. The record is from RNAcentral.
ACACGACUACAUUAGAUACCCGCGUAGUCCCAGCCCUAAACGACGCGCGUUAGGUGUAUCGGUGACCACGAGUCACCGAGGUGCCGAAGGGAAACCGUGAAACGUGCCGCCUGGGAAGUACGGUCGCAAGGCUGAAACUUAAAGGAAUUGGCGGGGAGCACCACAAGAGGUGGAGGCUGCGGUUCAAUUGGACUCAACGCCGGAAAACUCAUCGGGAGCGACAGCAGUAUGAUUGCCAGGUUGAUGACCUUGCUUGACAAGCUG